GACGAACGCUGGCGGCGUGCUUAACACAUGCAAGUCGAACGGAAAGGCCCUGCUUUUGUGGGGUGCUCGAGUGGCGAACGGGUGAGUAACACGUGAGUAACCUGCCCUUGACUUUGGGAUAACUUCAGGAAACUGGGGCUAAUACCGGAUAGGAGCUCCUGCUGCAUGGUGGGGGUUGGAAAGUUUCGGCGGUUGGGGAUGGACUCGCGGCUUAUCAGCUUGUUGGUGGGGUAGUGGCUUACCAAGGCUUUGACGGGUAGCCGGCCUGAGAGGGUGACCGACCACAUUGGGACUGAGAUACGGCCCAGACGCCUACGGGAGGCAGCAGUGGGGAAUAUUGCACAAUGGGCGGAAGCCUGAUGCAGCAACGCCGCGUGCGGGAUGACGGCCUUCGGGUUGUAAACCGCUUUCGCCUGUGACGAAGCGUGAGUGACGGUAAUGGGUAAAGAAGCACCGGCUAACUACGUG
RNAcentral lists this ribosomal RNA (468 nucleotides) under uncultured bacterium. Its description in RNAcentral is "partial 16S ribosomal RNA". It matches the Rfam family "Bacterial small subunit ribosomal RNA", at positions 28 to 507 of the family's 1533-position model. The record is from RNAcentral.